RNAcentral lists this ribosomal RNA (450 nucleotides) under uncultured bacterium. RNAcentral's name for it is "bacterial SSU rRNA". It matches the Rfam family "Bacterial small subunit ribosomal RNA", at positions 338 to 795 of the family's 1533-position model. The record is from RNAcentral.
CCUACGGGGGGCAGCAGUGGGGAAUCUUCCGCAAUGGGCGCAAGCCUGACGGAGCAAUGCCGCGUGAGUGAAGAAGGCCUUCGGGUUGUAAAACUCUGUCCUACGGGAGGAAAUGACCGUACCUUGACGGUACCUAACGAGGAAGCCACGGCUAACUACGUGCCAGCAGCCGCGGUAAUACGUAGGUGGCAAGCGUUGUCCGGAAUUAUUGGGCGUAAAGCGCGCGCAGGCGGUCUUUUAAGUCUGAUGUGAAAUCUUGCGGCUCAACCGCAAGCGGUCAUUGGAAACUGGGAGACUUGAGUGCAGAAGAGGAAAGCGGAAUUCCACGUGUAGCGGUGAAAUGCGUAGAGAUGUGGAGGAACACCAGUGGCGAAGGCGGCUUUCUGGUCUGUAACUGACGCUGAGGCGCGAAAGCGUGGGGAGCAAACAGGAUUAGAUACCCGAGUAGUC